CCUACGGGAGGCAGCAGUGGGGAAUAUUGGACAAUGGGGGGAACCCUGAUCCAGCCAUGCCGCGUGUGUGAAGAAGGCCCUCGGGUUGUAAAGCACUUUCAGUGAGGAAGAACGCCUGGUGGUUAAUACCCAUCAGGAAAGACAUCACUCACAGAAGAAGCACCGGCUAACUCCGUGUCAGCAGCCGCGGUAAUACGGAGGGUGCGAGCGUUAAUCGGAAUUACUGGGCGUAAAGCGCGCGUAGGUGGCUUGAUAAGCCGGUUGUGAAAGCCCCGGGCUCAACCUGGGAACGGCAUCCGGAACUGUCAAGCUAGAGUGCAGGAGAGGAAGGUAGAAUUCCCGGUGUAGCGGUGAAAUGCGUAGAGAUCGGGAGGAAUACCAGUGGCGAAGGCGGCCUUCUGGACUGACACUGACACUGAGGUGCGAAAGCGUGGGUAGCAAACAGGAUUAGAUACCCCAGUAGUC
Molecule: ribosomal RNA, 465 nt
Filed under: Vreelandella stevensii
Lineage: Bacteria; Pseudomonadati; Pseudomonadota; Gammaproteobacteria; Oceanospirillales; Halomonadaceae
Description: partial 16S ribosomal RNA
Rfam family: Bacterial small subunit ribosomal RNA
Source: RNAcentral